GAUGAACGCUGGCGGCGUGCCUAAUACAUGCAAGUCGAGCGAACAGACGAGGAGCUUGCUCCUCUGACGUUAGCGGCGGACGGGUGAGUAACACGUGGAUAACCUACCUAUAAGACUGGGAUAACUUCGGGAAACCGGAGCUAAUACCGGAUAAUAUAUUGAACCGCAUGGUUCAAUAGUGAAAGACGGUUUUGCUGUCACUUAUAGAUGGAUCCGCGCCGCAUUAGCUAGUUGGUAAGGUAACGGCUUACCAAGGCAACGAUGCGUAGCCGACCUGAGAGGGUGAUCGGCCGCACUGGAACUGAGACACGGUCCAGACUCCUACGGUAGGCAGCAGUAGGGAAUCGUCCGCAAUGGGCGAAAGCUUGACGGAGCAACGCCGCGUGAGUGAUGAAGGUCUUCGGAUCGUAAAACUCUGUUAUUAGGGAAGAACAAAUGUGUAAGUAACUAUGCACGUCUUGACGGUACCUAAUCAGAAAGCCACGGCUAACUACGUG
Molecule: ribosomal RNA, 497 nt
Filed under: uncultured bacterium
Lineage: Bacteria
Description: partial 16S ribosomal RNA
Rfam family: Bacterial small subunit ribosomal RNA
Source: RNAcentral